GGUUCCUUCAGAUUCAGACAGCAGUGAAACAGAAUCAGAAGGUACAAGCGAUGAUGACGACGACAAUAAAUUAGGCAGUGAUAAUGAUGAUGAUGAAGACAAAAAUGAGAAAACAGGCUCUCCAUUGAAACACAAAACAUCAAAGAGUAGUGAAGAUAGUUCAAGUCAAACUGCUGGCAAAAAUGAGUCCAAAAAGCGGCC
This 201-nucleotide unclassified non-coding RNA is filed under the name Hevea brasiliensis (rubber tree). The record is from RNAcentral. Lineage: Eukaryota; Viridiplantae; Streptophyta; Magnoliopsida; Malpighiales; Euphorbiaceae.